Molecule: ribosomal RNA, 497 nt
Filed under: uncultured bacterium
Lineage: Bacteria
Description: bacterial SSU rRNA
Rfam family: Bacterial small subunit ribosomal RNA
Source: RNAcentral
GAUGAACGCUAGCGGCAGGCUUAAUACAUGCAAGUUGAGGGGCAGCAUGAUAUACGCGAGUAUAUUGAUGGCGACCGGCGGACGGGUGAGUAAUAGGUAGGAGACCUACCUCAUACAGGGGGAUAGCAUAGAGAAAUCUGUGGUAAUACCCCAUGAGGUUAUAUGAAUAGAGGCAUAUAAUCAAAGCAUAAGCGAUUAUGCGGUAUGAGAGGGGCCUACUGACCAUUAGCUAGUUGGUGAGGUAAGGGCUCACCAAGGCGAAGAUGGUUAGGGGUUUUUGAGAGAGAGACCCCCCACAUUGGAACUGAGAGACGGUCCAGACUCCUACGGGAGGCAGCAGUAGGGAAUAUUGGGCAAUGGGCGAAAGCCUGACCCAGCCAUGCCGCGUGAAGGAAGACGGCCUUAUGGGUUGUAAACUUCUUUACUACGCGAAUAGAGGUUAGUACGAAGAUACGUAAUAGGGAAGUAGUGUAGUAAAAGCACCGGCUAACUCCGUG